This 1604-nucleotide long non-coding RNA is filed under the name Homo sapiens (human). RNAcentral describes it as "SH3RF3 antisense RNA 1". The record is from RNAcentral. Lineage: Eukaryota; Metazoa; Chordata; Mammalia; Primates; Hominidae.
GCCGUGCCUGCAGGACUUCCCUUCGCUUGGGCGCAAGCCGGCGAUUAGCCUGGUCCCCUAGGACAUCUCCAGGGCUCCGGGGAACCUCUCCUGCGCAGGCUUGGCCCUGCCUCCUCCAAGCGUCCGAGUCUUUUUCGGCUUUUCGUGAGCCUCAGAGAGGGACGUUUCCUGCCAACGCUGCUGCGAAGGAAAGUUUGGGCGGCGUUAUCCCGACUGCCUUCCUCGCCAGCGCCGGCGAGCAGCUUGGGGACACAGCCGACGCCCGGGCAUCCUCCCCGACGACCCCCCGGAGCGCUCCCAGUUCAGACUCCUUUCCGAGAAGCGCGCAGAAGUGACAGCCCCGGAGCUUCGUUCCGGUGUAGGUGUGGGGAUGCGCCGCAAGGCAGGAGGGGAAGGCGCUCCAGUUGAAGGGGGCACCCCGGGGCCCGCGCCGACUCCUCCCGGCGCAGCCUUGGCUCGCCGGAGUCGCGGGUCGGAGGCUGGCGCCGCUGCCCGCCGACCAGCACCCUGGCGCCAGGCGCCCGGCUCCACGCCGCACCCUUGGCGACGCUGUGCGAGGGGCUCUAGCGCCCGCCGCGGCGCAGUCUCGUGAACCCCCGCUCCAAUUUUUUCCUACGGAGGCGCAGAGGAGGGUGAAUUCGCGCUCUCCUUCCCGACGCCCCGGCUUCUGGGAGCGUCAGAGCAACGGAAGUACGUACAGGAGGACCGAGAGCAGCAGGGAAGUUUGGCGGUGGGCUGGGGUCGGCGGCGAAGAUUCCCUGCCGUGCGCUGCCCCCUCGUGGCCGCUUUGCGUUCCCGUCGGGAAGGGCUGGGUUCCAGUCCAGGGCCCAGCACAAACCAGGAUUGGUUGGACGCUGCACAGCGAGUUCAGUCAGGGCUAACAUCAGAAGAGUCGUGGGGGGCCUGCCUAUCGGCCAGCCUGUCCUUGUGGUUUGUGAAGUUGUAUGAUCUUUCUGUUAUUAUUAAGGAAAAAAGUAGUAUUUGUUGAGGCUAAAAGGCCAAGAGCGUGCUAUAUAUUAUUUAAUCCUCUAAACAGCUCUGCCAGAUAAUUAUUUUAUUUAUUUAUAUUUACUUCCAUAGCUUUAGACAGGAUCUCGUUCUGUCAGGCAGGCUAGAGCGCGGGGUGCUAUCACGGCUCACUGCAGCCUCAAACUCUUGGGCUCAAGCCAUCCUUUCACCUCAGCCUCCUGAAUAGUUGAAACUACAGGUGCGCCACCACGCCUGGCUAAAUUUUUAAUUUAAAUUUUUUGUAGCGACAGGGUCUCCUUAUGUUGCCCAGGCUAGUCUCAAACUCCUGGGCUCAAGAGAUCCUCCAACCUCAUCUUCACAAAGUGCUGGGAGUACAGGCGCCAGCCACGGUGCCCAACCUGUGAUAAUUAUUUUAAACUCAUUUUACAAAUGAGGAAAGUGAUAUUCAUACUUGUAAAGCCAUUGGGGCUGAAUUUUCAUUUUUGUAUCCACAGAACUAACACAUAAAGUUUACAUGCCAUUAGAAUGUAAGCUCUCUGUAAGCUACAGAUCUUUUCUACUGUAAUAUCCUUAGUGCCUAGGGCAGUGACUAGCAUAUAGUAGGUGUUCAAUAAAUAUUUGUAGAAUUAAUGAAA